RNAcentral lists this ribosomal RNA (908 nucleotides) under Penicillium janthinellum. Its description in RNAcentral is "LSU rRNA". It matches the Rfam family "Eukaryotic large subunit ribosomal RNA", at positions 38 to 964 of the family's 3401-position model. The record is from RNAcentral. Lineage: Eukaryota; Fungi; Ascomycota; Eurotiomycetes; Eurotiales; Aspergillaceae.
GCAUAUCAAUAAGCGGAGGAAAAGAAACCAACAGGGAUUGCCUCAGUAACGGCGAGUGAAGCGGCAAGAGCUCAAAUUUGAAAGCUGGCCCCUUCGGGGUCCGCAUUGUAAUUUGCAGAGGAUGCUUCGGGAGCGGCCCCCAUCUAAGUGCCCUGGAACGGGCCGUCAUAGAGGGUGAGAAUCCCGUCUGGGAUGGGGUGCCCGCGCCCGUGUGAAGCUCCUUCGACGAGUCGAGUUGUUUGGGAAUGCAGCUCUAAAUGGGUGGUAAAUUUCAUCUAAAGCUAAAUACUGGCCGGAGACCGAUAGCGCACAAGUAGAGUGAUCGAAAGAUGAAAAGCACUUUGAAAAGAGAGUUAAACAGCACGUGAAAUUGUUGAAAGGGAAGCGCUUGCGACCAGACUCGCUCGCGGGGUUCAGCCGGCCUUCGGGCCGGUGUACUUCCCCGCGGGCGGGCCAGCGUCGGUUUGGGCGGCCGGUCAAAGGCCCUCGGAAUGUAACGCCCCCCGGGGCGUCUUAUAGCCGAGGGUGCCAUGCGGCCAGCCCGGACCGAGGAACGCGCUUCGGCUCGGACGCUGGCAUAAUGGUCGUAAGCGACCCGUCUUGAAACACGGACCAAGGAGUCUAACAUCUACGCGAGUGUUCGGGUGUCAAACCCGUGCGCGCAGUGAAAGCGAACGGAGGUGGGAACCCCUCGGGGUGCACCAUCGACCGAUCCUGAUGUCUUCGGAUGGAUUUGAGUAAGAGCGUAGCUGUUGGGACCCGAAAGAUGGUGAACUAUGCCUGAAUAGGGCGAAGCCAGAGGAAACUCUGGUGGAGGCUCGCAGCGGUUCUGACGUGCAAAUCGAUCGUCAAAUUUGGGUAUAGGGGCGAAAGACUAAUCGAACCAUCUAGUAGCUGGUUCCUGCCGA